GGAGCAUGUGGUUUAAUUCGAAGCAACGCGAAGAACCUUACCAGGCCUUGACAUGCAGAGAACUUUCCAGAGAUGGAUUGGUGCCUUCGGGAACUCUGACACAGGUGCUGCAUGGCUGUCGUCAGCUCGUGUCGUGAGAUGCUGGGUUAAGUCCCGUAACGAGCGCAACCCUUGUCCUUAGUUACCAGCACGUUAUGGUGGGCACUCUAAGGAGACUGCCGGUGACAAACCGGAGGAAGGUGGGGAUGACGUCAAGUCAUCAUGGCCCUUACGGCCUGGGCUACACACGUGCUACAAUGGUCGGUACAAAGGGUUGCCAAGCCGCGAGGUGGAGCUAGUCCCAUAAAACCGAUCGUAGUCCGGAUCGCAGUCUGCAACUCGACUGCGUGAAGUCGGAAUCGCUAGUAAUCGUGAAUCAGAAUGUCACGGUGAAUACGUUCCCGGGCCUU
Molecule: ribosomal RNA, 449 nt
Filed under: uncultured Pseudomonas sp.
Lineage: Bacteria; Pseudomonadati; Pseudomonadota; Gammaproteobacteria; Pseudomonadales; Pseudomonadaceae
Description: bacterial SSU rRNA
Rfam family: Bacterial small subunit ribosomal RNA
Source: RNAcentral